UGAAUACGAGAUGCUACGGCGUCGAAGCAGUCUAUGUCAUACUUCCAAGAAAAGCUUGCACUGUCAUAAACAAAUAAUGCCUGUACCAUAACCGACACAGGUGGGUAGGUAGAGUAUACUAAGGGGCGCGAGAUAACUCUCUCUAAGGAACUCGGCAAAAUGACUCCGUAACUUCGGGAGAAGGAGUGCCUUAUUUAUAAGGUUGCGAUAACAAGAUCCAAGCAACUGUUUACCAAAAACACAGGUCUCCGCUAAGUCGUAAGGCGAUGUAUGGGGGCUGACGCCUGCCCAGUGCCAGAAGGUUAAAGAAGUUGGUUAGCAUCCGCGAAGCUGAUAACUGAAGCCCUGGUGAACGGCGGCCGUAACUAUAACGGUCCUAAGGUAGCGAAAUUCCUUGUCGGGUAAGUUCCGACCCGCACGAAAGGCGUAAUGAUUUGGAUACUGUCUCGGAGAGGGGCUCGGUGAAAUAGACUUGUCUGUGAAGAUGCGGACUACCUGCACCAGGACAGAAAGACCCUAUGAAGCUUUACUGUAACCUGAAAUUGAAACUGGACUUUACUUGCGCAGUAUAGGUGGGAGGCGUUGAGAAUAUUCUUGCGGGAUUAUUGGAGCCAUCAGUGAGAUACCACUCUUGUAAUGUUAGAUUUCUAACUUUGUAUCAUUAUCUGGUCAAAGAACAGUUUCAGGCGGGCAGUUUGACUGGGGCGGUCGCCUCCUAAACGGUAACGGAGGCGCACAAAGGUUUCCUCUGAACGGGUAGAAAUCGUAUCUAGAGUGUAAAGGCAUAAGGAAGCUUGACUGUGAGACCUACAAGUCGAGCAGGGACGAAAGUCGGUCUUAGUGAUCUGACGGUGCUGAGUGGAAAGGCCGUCACUCAACGGAUAAAAGUUACUCUAAGGAUAACAGGCUGAUCUCCCCCAAGAGUUCACAUCGACGGGGAGGUUUGGCACCUCGAUGUCGGCUCAUCGCAUCCUGGGGCGGUAGUACGUCCCAAGGGUUGGGCUGUUCGCCCAUGAAAGCGGUACGCGAGCUGGGUUCAGAACGUCGUGAGACAGUUCGGUCCAUAUCCGGUGUAGGCGUUAGAAUAUUGAGAGGAGCCUUCUUUAGUACGAGAGGACCGAGAAGGACAUACCUCUGGUGUACCAGUUAUCGUGCCAACGGUAAACGCUGGGUAGCUAUGUGUGGAGUGGAUAACCGCUGAAAGCAUCUAAGUGGGAAGCCCACCUCAAGAUAAG
Molecule: ribosomal RNA, 1235 nt
Filed under: metagenome
Description: bacterial LSU rRNA
Rfam family: Bacterial large subunit ribosomal RNA
Source: RNAcentral